GAUGAACGCUGACAGAAUGCUUAACACAUGCAAGUCAACUUGAACUUCGGUUUGGGUGGCGGACGGGUGAGUAACGCGUAAAGAACUUGCCUCACAGUUAGGGACAACAUUUGGAAACGAAUGCUAAUACCUGAUAUUAUGAUUUUAGGGCAUCCUAGAAUUAUGAAAGCUAUAUGCGCUGUGAGAGAGCUUUGCGUCCCAUUAGCUAGUUGGAGAGGUAACGGCUCACCAAGGCGAUGAUGGGUAGCCGGCCUGAGAGGGUGAACGGCCACAAGGGGACUGAGACACGGCCCUUACUCCUACGGGAGGCAGCAGUGGGGAAUAUUGGACAAUGGACCAAGAGUCUGGUCCAGCAAUUCUGUGUGCACGAUGAAGUUUUUCGGAAUGUAAAGUGCUUUCAGUUGGGAAGAAAAAAAUGACGAUACCAACAGAAGAAGUGACGGCUAAAUACGUG
Molecule: ribosomal RNA, 454 nt
Filed under: uncultured bacterium
Lineage: Bacteria
Description: partial 16S ribosomal RNA
Rfam family: Bacterial small subunit ribosomal RNA
Source: RNAcentral